UACGUAGGUGGCAAGCGUUGUCCGGAUUUAUUGGGCGUAAAGCGAGCGCAGGCGGUUCCUUAAGUUUGAUGUGAAAGCCCCCGGCUCAACCGGGGAAGGUCAGUGGAAACUGGGAAACUUGAGUGCAGGAGAGGAGAGUGGAAUUCCAUGUGUAGCGGUGAAAUGCGUAGAUAUAUGGAGGAACACCGGUGGCGAAGGCGACUCUCUGGUCUGUAACUGACGCUGAGGCUCGAAAGCGUGGGGAGCAAACAGG
This 253-nucleotide ribosomal RNA is filed under the name uncultured bacterium. RNAcentral describes it as "partial 16S ribosomal RNA". It matches the Rfam family "Bacterial small subunit ribosomal RNA", at positions 524 to 776 of the family's 1533-position model. The record is from RNAcentral.